Molecule: non-coding RNA, 141 nt
Organism: Paramuricea clavata
Lineage: Eukaryota; Metazoa; Cnidaria; Anthozoa; Malacalcyonacea; Plexauridae
Source: the annotation of a GenBank genome assembly
AAAAUUCCUAUAAGAAUUUGGGACAAAAUUCCUAUAGGAAUUUUUCCUAUAGGAAUUUUUCCUAUAGGAAUUCCUAUAGGAAUUCCUAUAGGAAAAAUUCCUAUAGGAAUUUUGUCCCAAAUUCUUAUAGGAAUUUUUCCU